GUCACGAUAGCUCAAAUGGUAGAGCACCGGCGUAUUAAGCCGAUGGUCGUGGGUUCGAAUCCCGCUCGUGACA
This 73-nucleotide non-coding RNA is filed under the name Cimex lectularius (bed bug). RNAcentral describes it as "tRNA". It matches the Rfam family "tRNA". From Rfam's summary of the family: Transfer RNA (tRNA) molecules are approximately 80 nucleotides in length. The record is from Rfam by way of RNAcentral. Lineage: Eukaryota; Metazoa; Arthropoda; Insecta; Hemiptera; Cimicidae.